This 93-nucleotide microRNA precursor is filed under the name Marmota monax (woodchuck). Lineage: Eukaryota; Metazoa; Chordata; Mammalia; Rodentia; Sciuridae. The record is from RNAcentral.
AGUGGAAGUGCUGGGUAAUGUGGUGUAAUGUUUUAAGAAACUACCAAACUGUUUGCCACAGUGGUUGCACCAUUUCCCAUUUCCACCAGCAAU